RNAcentral lists this non-coding RNA (195 nucleotides) under Phenylobacterium sp. Lineage: Bacteria; Pseudomonadati; Pseudomonadota; Alphaproteobacteria; Caulobacterales; Caulobacteraceae. The record is from RNAcentral.
UAGGCCUUGAGCCGUCGAGGCAUGGGAACCGAGAGGUUCCCGGGAAUGCGGUGCGGCUCUCCGGGGCCAAGGCCGCAGCUGCCCCCGCAACUGUGAUUGCUCGUCAAUCGCGCGGCGAACGCCACUGGGUCCGUCCCGGGAAGGCGCCGCGUCGAGAGCAAGAGCCAGGAGACCGGCCUCGACGGAUACGAAACC